UGGACUUUGGGAGUCUCUGUCAUAAUAAGCUUAAACAUUUAACGUUUUACUUAGCAGAUUUCUGACAAGAGUGACAGCCAGUAUCUAUUAAGUAUAUCUGAAUUAGUCAAUCUGUGUUGUACAAUUACUUGUCUUAGAAUGUAUCUGGUAAACAAAGAGAGUACAUUGAAACUUAACGACUGUAAUAAAAACAAGACUAUACAUAUUUAAGGCAAUGGCCUUUAACCUUUUUACUGAUGUAUAUCUUAAAAUUAACAUUAAAACUGUUAUUUGUCAAGGAAGGAUAGAAAUCGGAGGCUGUUCUAAGUGGGGACUGCCUAUAAAAAAAGAUGGCGGUUAGUCAUGAAACUGCCUUUAACCAAGAUGGCUCUGAAGCUCUAGCCAGUCAUGUGACCGCCCUUAGCCUUUAGCUAAGAUGGCGCAGGUGGAGGAAAGCCAUGUUAUAUCUUAGAAGUGUGGCUGUGCAUCUUAGAAUGGAAUGGCAGAAGCACGGCAGAGGCAAACGGUUACUUGGAGUGCAUGCCUUUAAUUGAAGCACAAGGGAAGCCAAGAGAAUCCUGGAAGGGCAUCAUCCCUGUGUAGCAGGCUGACUUGCUUUGUAGCCUGGGCUCACCCACUUCAGAUCCUCUGGCUUCGUUUAGAGUUCUGACCUUUCGUGUGCUGGGAUUCUAUGUCCCACCAUGCCCAGCCGACUCUUCCUCUACUAAUGGGUCUGAGUGACGCAGAAAUUCAGAAUUAUAACUGCUCUCUGUAGAUUCCACAAACCCAUUUGGCAGGUUGGACUGUGGGACCCGGAAUCCUUCGGGAUUCCUGCCCUAGUGGGGACUGGACAGGAAGCAACCAAACAUUAGUUUAGAUACGGCCGGAAGCCACCUGGCAGGCGUAAUCAAAGCCCCAAAAGUGUAAAUUGCGCAACAGGAAGUCCUGGUCGGGCCUCAUUCUGUAAAGUUCUCUUGGUAAUGGGGGAAGAUCAAAGCAACCUUCUGGUUGUGAGACAGUUAGAGGCAGAGAGGGGAAUGCCAGAAAAUUUGAGACAAACAUAAUCCGUUGGACUUUGACCCCCACCAAGACCCCUAUUGCAAAUCCCUCACAGAGGGGCAGUCCUGAUGUGGUUGAUGUGACCCCUCCAACAUGUAAGUCGUGCCCAGAAUACAUCUAUAAAGGCAAGACAUUCAAUGCAUUGUUUCCUAUAUCCAGUGCCUGUGCUGCCCUGUAGUGGUCACCUUCAAUCUGACAUGCAGCACAGAGCAAGCCCAGCUUCUAGAAGCUGCUGAUGGGUAGAAAGAGGGGGAGAUUAUGGGAGGAAUGGGAAAUGAGCAGAAGAGCCAGGAAGGUUCUGGAGAGCUGAGCCGGAGUCUGCAGGCUGCGAGAAGGUGGUGGGUACGCCCGUAACAUCAGCACUUGGAAGGCUGCGGAAAGCAAGAGGAUCCGAAGUUUUAUUUGAGACUGGGUUGUUUACUAAUAACCUGUGCGCUCGGUUCCCAUACGCCUAAAAAAGUGUGCUUCUAAUAAAGUCACCGAGGAGAACAUAUUUCUUUACCAAA
Molecule: long non-coding RNA, 1544 nt
Organism: Rattus norvegicus (Norway rat)
Lineage: Eukaryota; Metazoa; Chordata; Mammalia; Rodentia; Muridae
Source: RefSeq, a predicted model, not a curated record